RNAcentral lists this ribosomal RNA (638 nucleotides) under Schizochytrium aggregatum. RNAcentral's name for it is "partial Bacterial large subunit ribosomal RNA". It matches the Rfam family "Bacterial large subunit ribosomal RNA", at positions 2149 to 2786 of the family's 2925-position model. Lineage: Eukaryota; Bigyra; Thraustochytrida; Thraustochytriidae. The record is from RNAcentral.
GGGAGGCUUUGAAGCGUGAACGCCAGUUUGCGUGGAGCCAACCUUGAAAUACCACCCUGGCAACUUUGAGGUUCUAACUCAGGUCCGUUAUCCGGAUCGAGGACAGUGUAUGGUGGGUAGUUUGACUGGGGCGGUCUCCUCCUAAAGAGUAACGGAGGAGUACGAAGGUGCGCUCAGACCGGUCGGAAAUCGGUCGUAGAGUAUAAAGGCAAAAGCGCGCUUGACUGCGAGACAGACACGUCGAGCAGGUACGAAAGUAGGUCUUAGUGAUCCGGUGGUUCUGUAUGGAAGGGCCAUCGCUCAACGGAUAAAAGCUACCCUGGGGAUAACAGGCUUAUCUCCCCCAAGAGUUCACAUCGACGGGGAGGUUUGGUACCUCGAUGUCGGCUCAUCGCAUCCUGGGGCUGUAGUCGGUCCCAAGGGUUGGGCUGUUCGCCCAUUAAAGCGGUACGCGAGCUGGGUUUAGAACGUCGUGAGACAGUUCGGUCCCUAUCUGCCGUGGACGUUUGAGAUUUGAGAGGGGCUGCUCCUAGUACGAGAGGACCGGAGUGGACGAACCUCUGGUGUUCCGGUUGUCACGCCAGUGGCAUUGCCGGGUAGCUAUGUUCGGAAGAGAUAACCGCUGAAAGCAUCUAAGC